Molecule: long non-coding RNA, 717 nt
Filed under: Homo sapiens (human)
Lineage: Eukaryota; Metazoa; Chordata; Mammalia; Primates; Hominidae
Description: HSALNT0253036
Source: RNAcentral
AGAUAUAGAAGCCAACAUUGAAAAGGGAGAAGUUGCCGAAGGUCAAACCACUGUAUCUACACCCUUUCUUCACAUUUAUAGGCAACAGAAAGAAAUUCUUCACAGGAAAUGACUUGAAUUUAAUUUGCCAUGGACUUCUUCAGCUGGAUACCAGAAAUCCAUUCGUUCUGUACCAAUCCUGCGCUGAGCACCUGAAAGUGCUGAGGCCCAAUAAUGAGGGCAGAACACUUGGCUUCAGAGAGUACACAGCAUCUGGCAGAGAAAGAAAUAUACCACAAAUGGGGCGUUUCGGAGGUUAAGGAAAAUUCCCUCUCCCCGCACACUGGGGGCACUGAAGAAAUGAAGAACACGAUGCAUCCACUCUGAAGCAGAGAUUCAGAAAAAAGCUAAAGGAGUUGACUUGCUUGAGUGUAUGCCCCUGGGAGGAAGGUGUGUAAGGUUAUGUAAGAUGGAACCAAUUUUAUCCCGUGUGAUGCUAGGAAAAGAAUGGAAAGCCACACCACAGAGGGGUCUAAAUUGAGCGCAUUGCGGUCAGUGUUCAGCCUGAGCUGAGAAAAGAAACCAGGCUCCCCAUGGGGAGGCAGGAACUUUCUCAGUGAUUUUUGAAGUCCAUGUAAAUAAAUAAAUAGCUAACAUUUAUUGAGCACUUGUUAUGUGAGCACUCUUCUAAGAGAUUUGUGUGCAUUGAUUUAUUUUCAUCACAGAACUUGACAGGUG